Molecule: non-coding RNA, 30 nt
Filed under: Homo sapiens (human)
Lineage: Eukaryota; Metazoa; Chordata; Mammalia; Primates; Hominidae
Source: RNAcentral
UAUAUUCCUUGUCUCGGGUCGACGGAAUCU